GACGGAAGGUGCAAGCGUUGCUCGGAAUUACUGGGCGUAAAGGGCGCGUAGGCGGAUAGUUUAGUCAGAGGUGAAAGCCCAGGGCUCAACCUUGGAACUGCCUUUGAUACUGGCUAUCUUGAGUUCGGGAGAGGUGAGUGGAAUGCCGAGUGUAGAGGUGAAAUUCGUAGAUAUUCGGCGGAACACCAGUGGCGAAGGCGACUCACUGGCCCGAUACUGACGCUGAGGCGCGAAAGCGUGGGGAGCAAACAGG
Molecule: ribosomal RNA, 253 nt
Filed under: uncultured bacterium
Lineage: Bacteria
Description: partial 16S ribosomal RNA
Rfam family: Bacterial small subunit ribosomal RNA
Source: RNAcentral